UGAGCUGCUCUAAGCCCCGUACAGUAGAGGAUUGAUUCKCAUGGGAGGUAGGAUAUGCAUACAUAAGGCCUGUGUAAGUGUCUGCAGCAGUCAAUAUAUACUUUCGCCCCUGUGAGGGGGGUAACGGGCCUACAUAAUCUACCUGCCCGGUCGCAAAGGGUUGUUCGCCUCGCUUGAUGCGACCGUAUGUGCUGGUGAAAGGCACUUYUGUUAUCUUCAURCAAAYGGGACAGUUAGCACGGGCUGUCUUAUACCAAUGUAGGGCUAACAUGAGAUGGCCUCAUGAUAGAUCCCAAGCCUGAGCUGUGAUGGGGCCACGAUGCCCUGAUCGUUCWUGCGCUUGCCAAGCUUGCUUUAACUYUGAGGGAGUUGCCAUCUGGUCGACUGCUGUGUUAUGCUGAGUUUCGAGGGUCUGCUUCUGAUGGGCAUCGACAUGUUGCACAGACACAGAUUUAGUUUGCACAAUGUCCCAAAUCCUUUCCCACAAGGGGCUCCCCCAGAGUUCCUUAUCAUGUAUCUUCCACUGUGCAGCGGCCCAUGUUGGUAACCAGGUUCGCAGACCCUUGUAUACUACCCAGCUAUCCGAAUAGAGGUAGCGUGCAUCUCCCUCAUCGAGAGCUAUAGCUGCAGCCUUUAGUUCAGCCCACUGACUUGAGUAUCCCGUUCCUGAGGCAAAACAGAUAGUAUCCGUGGCAGGAUUAYAUGCUACAGAGCGCCACACUCGCUCUCCUGCCCAGGAAUACACUGCACUGCCAUCAGAAAACCAGGCCCACUCUCGUUGCUCAGGAGAUAACGUCUCAAAAAAAAAAAAAAAAAAAAAUUGGAGUCCAGAGAUUUGUCAGCAGCUAUUAUGAUGUAGAAGCAAUCCCAAAUUAGAAGAUUUUAAAGUAUAUCUGUAUGCACAUAAACUAGAGCAUUAUGCAAGUUAGGGAGAUAGCAUGAAUGUUCUUAAAUUUGGGAAAAUAGUGCUCUCUCCUGAGAUCAGCAGCUUCUGUUAUCGGAAAUAGAAAUCAAAAGAUUUUUGUAAUUAGUUUACCUCUCAGACACUAUGCUUUUUUGCAAUAGAUUCCUUUGGCUAUUCAUAAUAUUCUCCCUUUUUUAUGCGGUAUUAGGUUUUGGGUUUUUUUAAAUUGAGCUUUGUUAUAAUCCUAUGAAUUGUUAUCAAUGUUUCACAUACUGGAAAUGAGGACAGUACACUACAAAAACCCUUACAGAGUUCAAAAAAUUCUGAGUAUAAAUCUUGGUCUUAUUAGAGUCAAAUAAACUUUAUCUUUUCACUUUCA
RNAcentral lists this long non-coding RNA (1283 nucleotides) under Apteryx haastii (Great spotted kiwi). Its description in RNAcentral is "lncRNA (ENSAHAG00000002911.1)". The record is from RNAcentral. Lineage: Eukaryota; Metazoa; Chordata; Aves; Apterygiformes; Apterygidae.